GAGUUUGAUCCUGGCUCAGGACGAACGCUGGCGGCGUGCUUAACACAUGCAAGUCGAGCGGAAAGGCCCUUCGGGGUACUCGAGCGGCGAACGGGUGAGUAACACGUGAGUAACCUGCCCUGGACUUUGGGAUAACCCUCGGAAACGGGGGCGUAAUACCGGAUACGACCUUCCUUCGCAUGGGGGUGGGUGGAAAGUUUUUCGGUCUGGGAUGGGCUCGCGGCCUAUCAGCUUGUUGGUGGGGUGAUGGCCUACCAAGGCGACGACGGGUAGCCGGCCUGAGAGGGCGACCGGCCACACUGGGACUGAGACACGGCCCAGACUCCUACGGGAGGCAGCAGUGGGGAAUAUUGCACAAUGGGCGGAAGCCUGAUGCAGCGACG
RNAcentral lists this ribosomal RNA (383 nucleotides) under uncultured Actinomycetes bacterium. Its description in RNAcentral is "bacterial SSU rRNA". It matches the Rfam family "Bacterial small subunit ribosomal RNA", at positions 9 to 396 of the family's 1533-position model. The record is from RNAcentral. Lineage: Bacteria; Bacillati; Actinomycetota; Actinomycetes.